RNAcentral lists this ribosomal RNA (375 nucleotides) under uncultured organism. RNAcentral's name for it is "partial 16S ribosomal RNA". It matches the Rfam family "Bacterial small subunit ribosomal RNA", at positions 527 to 896 of the family's 1533-position model. The record is from RNAcentral.
GUAGGUGGCAAGCGUUGUCCGGAAUUAUUGGGCGUUAAAAGCGCGCGCAGGCGGGUUCUUUAAGUCUGAUGUGAAAAGCCCACGGGCCCAACCGUGGAGGUCAUUGGAAACUGGAGAACUUGAGUACAGAAGAGGAAAGCGGAAUUCCACGUGUAGCGGUGAAAUGCGUAGAGAUGUGGAGGAACACCAGUGGCGAAGGCGGCUUUCUGGUCUGUAACUGACGCUGAGGCGCGAAAGCGUGGGGAGCAAACAGGAUUAGAUACCCUGGUAGUCCACGCCGUAAACGAUGAGUGCUAAGUGUUAGGGGGUUUCCGCCCCUUAGUGCUGCAGCUAACGCAUUAAGCACUCCGCCUGGGGAGUACGGCCGCAAGGCUG